Molecule: ribosomal RNA, 252 nt
Filed under: uncultured bacterium
Lineage: Bacteria
Description: partial 16S ribosomal RNA
Rfam family: Bacterial small subunit ribosomal RNA
Source: RNAcentral
UACAGAGGUCCCGAGCGUUGUUCGGAUUCACUGGGCGUAAAGGGUGCGUAGGUGGCUUGGUAAGUUUGAUGUGAAAGCUCAGGGCUCAACCCUGAAAUGGCAUUGAAUACUACUGAGCUGGGGUUUGGAGGGGGGACUGGAAUUCUCGGUGUAGCAGUGAAAUGCGUAGAUAUCGAGAGGAACACCAGUGGCGAAGGCGAGUCCCUGGACAACACCUGACACUGAGGCACGAAAGCUAGGGGAGCAAACAGG